GUGGCCUAGUGGUUAGAGCGUCCGCCGCCUCCGAUGCGAGAGAUCGCGGGUUCAAACCCCGGUCAAGUCA
Molecule: non-coding RNA, 70 nt
Organism: Potamilus streckersoni
Lineage: Eukaryota; Metazoa; Mollusca; Bivalvia; Unionida; Unionidae
Source: the annotation of a GenBank genome assembly